AUGUUACAGGGAAGGAGAAAAAUCAAUGAAGGAAUUCAUGACCAGAACCGGAGCCGAGUACCUACCAUGGACAACCACGUCAUUGUCUCCCCCACCGCGACUUCACCACCAACAGAUUCACCACCGUGCGGCCCUUUCGAUGAACGCCAACUCGCGUGGACAUCGCAAGCUUCGACACUGUUGAGCAAGACUUCAAGAUCGAUCUGUGUAUCAAUCAAAACACUGGUUUCUGCUUCAAAUUCGGGUUCGAAACUCGCGAGAAGGUCAACAGAUGUUCAAGUCUGCUCGCGCUCACUCCGUCUCACCGAAGACCGCCAUACGCCACCGCAAACACCUGAAGCAGCUCCGAUCUGUUGCCAACGAUGCUCUUCCUCUUUGUCACGAUUUCACUUACCAACGCCUUUCGUUCUUCCCCCGCGAUGA
This is a non-coding RNA of Vicia faba (fava bean), 423 nucleotides long. The record is from the annotation of a GenBank genome assembly. NCBI's taxonomy places the organism in Eukaryota, Viridiplantae, Streptophyta, Magnoliopsida, Fabales, Fabaceae.